This 253-nucleotide ribosomal RNA is filed under the name uncultured bacterium. RNAcentral describes it as "partial 16S ribosomal RNA". It matches the Rfam family "Bacterial small subunit ribosomal RNA", at positions 524 to 776 of the family's 1533-position model. The record is from RNAcentral.
UAGGGAGGAGGCAAGCGUUAUCCGGAAUUAUUGGGCGUAAAGCGUCCGUAGGUGGCCAUUCAAGUCUGCUGUCAAAGCAUGGAGCUUAACUCCAUAGAGGCAGUGGAAACUGAAUAGCUAGAGUUCGGUAGGGGUAGCGGGAAUCCCCAGUGUAGCGGUGAAAUGGGUAGAGAUUGGGAAGAACAUCGGUGGCGAAAGCGCGCUACUGGGCCGAAACUGACACUGAGGGACGAAAGCUAGGGGAGCGAAAGGG